Molecule: non-coding RNA, 130 nt
Filed under: uncultured Ferdinandcohnia sp.
Lineage: Bacteria; Bacillati; Bacillota; Bacilli; Caryophanales; Bacillaceae
Description: ylbH leader
Rfam family: ylbH leader
About the family: This family is a putative regulatory RNA structure that is found upstream of the ylbH gene in B. subtilis and related low GC Gram-positive bacteria.
Source: RNAcentral
AAAAAAACCCUGCAAACUACCUGCAGGGUCCUUCCAUUCCAUGUUUUUUGUUACCGUUCACAUGGAAGAAGGCAAAGGGAGAGGAGAAACCGGAGGAAGAACUUAUGGGGAAACGUAAGUCUUCUCCGCG